GUAACGGCGAGUGAAGCGGUAACAGCUCAAAUUUGAAAUCUGGCUCCCUUAGCCGGGAGUCCGAGUUGUAAUUUGUAGAAGAUGCUUUGGGUUGUGGGCUUGGCCUAAGUUCCUUGGAACAGGACGUCGUAGAGGGUGAGAAUCCCGUAUGCGGCCGAGGCCUACGCCUGUGUAAAGCUCUUUCGACGAGUCGAGUUGUUUGGGAAUGCAGCUCAAAAUGGGUGGUAAAUUUCAUCUAAAGCUAAAUAUGGGCCAGAGACCGAUAGCGCACAAGUAGAGUGAUCGAAAGAUGAAAAGCACUUUGGAAAGAGAGUUAAACAGUACGUGAAAUUGUUGAAAGGGAAGCGCUUGCAACCAGACUUUGGGCACUGCUGAUCAGCCGGAGUUCUCUCCGAUGCACUCGACAGCGCACAGGCCAGCAUCGGUUUGGGUGGCUGGAUAAAGGCCGUAGGAACGUAGCUCCUUCCGGGGAGUGUUAUAGCCUAUGGUGCCAUGCAGCCCAUCCGGACCGAGGACCGCGCCUUCGGGCUAGGAUGCUGGCGUAAUGGUUGUAAGCGACCCGUCUUGAAACACGGACCAAGGAGUCUAACAUCUAUGCGAGUGUUUGGGCGUCAAACCCAUACGCGGAAUGAAAGUGAACGUAGGUGAGAACCCUUCGGGGUGCAUCAUCGACCGAUCCUGAUGUCUUCGGAUGGAUUUGAGUAAGAGCAUAGC
RNAcentral lists this ribosomal RNA (714 nucleotides) under Erysiphe liquidambaris. Its description in RNAcentral is "eukaryotic LSU rRNA". It matches the Rfam family "Eukaryotic large subunit ribosomal RNA", at positions 83 to 806 of the family's 3401-position model. Lineage: Eukaryota; Fungi; Ascomycota; Leotiomycetes; Helotiales; Erysiphaceae. The record is from RNAcentral.